AGGGCUCUGAGCACCAGCACACUGGCCUUCCCCGGGGGUCGCUGGGUGGAUAAGCCGGGUAGCUGCCCCAGAGCAGAGUGCCCACGCCCCCUCCCACUGACCUGGAGGCCCAUCCCCAGUCCCUUGGGUGGUGAGAGGAGAGAGGCCUCUCACGGGAUGUGCAGAGGUGGAGUUGAUCUCUAGGCAUGGAAGGAAACAAAACUUUGGCUUCCUGGGGAUUUCUGACCUGCCCAUCAGGAUGCUGCUUGAGAAAGCUAGGGGCCCGAGGUGCCCACUACUCACCUGCCGCUACCUCGAGAGACACAGGGCAUAAUAGUUACAGUUUACACCUUUUUAUUGCUGAGUGGGAUCCCAUUGUAUGAAAUAGGACAAUUUGGCCACGUGUUGAUGGACAUUUUGCUGUUUCCGGGAUUGGACUGCUAUGUCUCUUGGGGACUGCAGGGCUCCCAGGCCACAGGAGGACAACAAGUCCAGAGCCCAUGUCAUCAGACUUUCUCAAGUCACAGGCCAAAUUGGAGAGGCCACAUGCCCGAAGCCACCCAGAGGGGUCAAGCAAAGCCAGGACUCCAGGCAGCAAAUCUUCCUUAUGUCCUUCCUGCAUGUGAGGCCCUGAGCAGAGUGCCAGGGAUGAGGAGGAACAGACAGAGCAGCAGCUGCCCUCACCGCCCAGUGGCAGAUGUGAGCAAGUUAUCAACUCUAGCACAACAGGAGAGCCCUUACCUGCAGCUGGGGAGACCGGGGACCUCCUGGCUGAAGUGACCUUUAAGCCAAGGCCUCAAAGCUGAAGAGGAAUGUGUUUUCCCAAGAUAAAUGCAAAGGCUGAGGAUCAAGAAAAAAACAGGUGUGAGUUUGGGUAUGUUGUGGUCUCAGUUUCCUCAUCUCUUGAAUGGACUUCCUGCUC
RNAcentral lists this long non-coding RNA (901 nucleotides) under Equus asinus (donkey). RNAcentral describes it as "lncRNA (ENSEASG00005034213.1)". Lineage: Eukaryota; Metazoa; Chordata; Mammalia; Perissodactyla; Equidae. The record is from RNAcentral.